RNAcentral lists this ribosomal RNA (497 nucleotides) under uncultured bacterium. RNAcentral's name for it is "partial 16S ribosomal RNA". It matches the Rfam family "Bacterial small subunit ribosomal RNA", at positions 28 to 507 of the family's 1533-position model. The record is from RNAcentral.
GAUGAACGCUGGCGGCGUGCCUAAUACAUGCAAGUCGAGCGAACGGACGAGAAGCUUGCUUCUCUGAUGUUAGCGGCGGACGGGUGAGUAAAACGUGGAUAAACUACCUAUAAAACUGGGAUAAAUUCGGGAAACCGGAGCUAAUACCGGAUAAUAUUUUGAACCGCAUGGUUCAAAAGUGAAAGACGGUCUUGCUGUCACUUAUAGAUGGAUCCGCGCUGCAUUAGCGAGUUGGUAAGGUAACGGCGUAACAAGGCUACGAUGCAUAGCCGACCUGAGAGGGUGAGCUGCCACACUGGAACUGAGACGCGGUCCAGACUCCUACGGGAGGCAGCAGUAGCGAAUCUUCCGCAAUGGGCGAAAUCCUGACUGAUCAACGCCGCGUGAGUGAUUAAGGUCUUCGGAUCGUAAAACUCUGUUAUUAGGGAAGAACAUAUGUGUAAGUAACUGUGCACAUCUUGACGGUACCUAAUCAGAAAGCCACGGCUAACUACGUG